This 443-nucleotide ribosomal RNA is filed under the name uncultured bacterium. RNAcentral describes it as "partial 16S ribosomal RNA". It matches the Rfam family "Bacterial small subunit ribosomal RNA", at positions 338 to 795 of the family's 1533-position model. The record is from RNAcentral.
CCUACGGGUGGCAGCAGUGGGGAAUAUUGGGCAAUGGAGGAAACUCUGACCCAGCAACGCCGCGUGAAUGAUGAAGGUCUUCGGAUUGUAAAGUUCUUUUCUAAGGGAAGAAGAAAGUGACGGUACCUUAGGAAUAAGCCUCGGCUAACUACGUGCCAGCAGCCGCGGUAAUACGUAGGAGGCGAGCGUUAUCCGGAAUGACUGGGCGUAAAGGGUGCGUAGGUGGUUUGGCAAGUUAGUAGCGUAACUCCAAGGCUCAACCUUGGAACUACUACUAAAACUGUUGGACUAGAGUAAUGGAGGGGGAACCGGAAUUCUCGGUGUAGCAGUGAAAUGCGUAGAUAUCGAGAGGAACACUCGUGGCGAAGGCGGGUUCCUGGACAUUAACUGACGCUGAGGCACGAAGGCCAGGGGAGCGAAAGGGAUUAGAUACCCGGGUAGUC